Long non-coding RNA from Eriocheir sinensis (Chinese mitten crab), 351 nucleotides. RefSeq lists it as uncharacterized. The transcript is spliced from 2 exons. The record is from RefSeq and is a predicted model, not a curated record. Lineage: Eukaryota; Metazoa; Arthropoda; Malacostraca; Decapoda; Varunidae.
GUCCUCAUCACUAUCGUCCACCGGUGGUACGAGUACUUCCUCCUGUUCGAUGAGGAUUUGUUUGUACGGACCUAACCACUUCACUCCCAACUACCGGUGUACCGAGGACUCGCCUUGUUCCUUUUUCACCCACACCAAACUGUUGUGUGGUGGUCCAGCUCCUCUCUGGCAGCUGGAUAGCCUGCCACAAUCAGCCAGAUGAUGUCCUCGUUGUUGGGCCCAAGGCAAGUAUAUAUCUAAUUCAGUAUGCAGUUUGAUGUAAAAUUCACCCUUAUGGUAGCUACUGAGACACACACACACACACACACACACACACACACACACACACACACACACACACACACACACACA